CCUUGACCCCUGUUAAAUGUCUACAACAAGCAAACAACGGUGUUUACAGAAUGAAGUGGGCAAUCCACAACACCGUGCUUGACACUUGAGGAAUAUUUAAACUGUUGGACCUAUUGGCGCACUGAUGGAUGAUGAUCUGAAUGGAGAAACAUCAUCACGUGAUCUCUGUAUACAGUCAGACGAAGAAACUGUUUCCGGUACUUGAUUACCCUGGAAGACGGCUCAUCAAGGCGAUUUAAAGAUGCUGGGCCAUUUUGUUUUUAGCGUUAGAGACCUGUUGUAAUAAUUACAGAGCCCCGUAUCACGAAGCGAUCUUAGCCCUAAAGUUUGUUUGUUUUGUUUAACAACACC
Molecule: long non-coding RNA, 351 nt
Organism: Gigantopelta aegis
Lineage: Eukaryota; Metazoa; Mollusca; Gastropoda; Neomphalida; Peltospiridae
Exons: 3
Source: RefSeq, a predicted model, not a curated record